Molecule: unclassified non-coding RNA, 351 nt
Filed under: soil metagenome
Description: partial contains 5.8S ribosomal RNA, internal transcribed spacer 2, and large subunit ribosomal RNA
Rfam family: 5.8S ribosomal RNA (bases 3-117)
Source: RNAcentral
GAGAAGAACGCAGCGAAAUGCGAUAAGUAGUGUGAAUUGCAGAAUUCAGUGAAUCAUCGAAUCUUUGAACGCACAUUGCGCCUCCUGGUAUUCCGGGAGGCAUGCCUUCGAGCGUCAUUAAAAUCACUCAAGCUUAGGUUUACCUAUUGCUUGGUCUUGGAGAUGGAAGCCAAUUUAUUGGAAUCCUCUUCGAAAUUCAAUGGCGAAGACCCUUGCUCUCCCAAGUGUAGUAAUAACUUAUGUCACUGAAGGAAGCGAGAAAUCUUCUGCCGUAACCCCCAUAUUUUCUAUGAUUGACCUCGGAUCAGGUAGGGAUACCCGCUGAACUUAAGCAUAUCAAUAAGCGGAGGA